This 1372-nucleotide ribosomal RNA is filed under the name uncultured bacterium. Its description in RNAcentral is "bacterial SSU rRNA". It matches the Rfam family "Bacterial small subunit ribosomal RNA", at positions 28 to 1381 of the family's 1533-position model. The record is from RNAcentral.
GAUGAACGCUGGCGGCGUGCCUAAUACAUGCAAGUCGAGCGAACGGACGAGAAGCUUGCUUCUCUGAUGUUAGCGGCGGACGGGUGAGUAACACGUGGAUAACCUACCUAUAAGACUGGGAUAACUUCGGGAAACCGGAGCUAAUACCGGAUAAUAUUUUGAACCGCAUGGUUCAAAAGUGAAAGACGGUCUUGCUGUCACUUAUAGAUGGAUCCGCGCUGCAUUAGCUAGUUGGUAAGGUAACGGCUUACCAAGGCAACGAUGCAUAGCCGACCUGAGAGGGUGAUCGGCCACACUGGAACUGAGACACGGUCCAGACUCCUACGGGAGGCAGCAGUAGGGAAUCUUCCGCAAUGGGCGAAAGCCUGACGGAGCAACGCCGCGUGAGUGAUGAAGGUCUUCGGAUCGUAAAACUCUGUUAUUAGGGAAGAACAUAUGUGUAAGUAACUGUGCACAUCUUGACGGUACCUAAUCAGAAAGCCACGGCUAACUACGUGCCAGCAGCCGCGGUAAUACGUAGGUGGCAAGCGUUAUCCGGAAUUAUUGGGCGUAAAGCGCGCGUAGGCGGUUUUUUAAGUCUGAUGUGAAAGCCCACGGCUCAACCGUGGAGGGUCAUUGGAAACUGGAAAACUUGAGUGCAGAAGAGGAAAGUGGAAUUCCAUGUGUAGCGGUGAAAUGCGCAGAGAUAUGGAGGAACACCAGUGGCGAAGGCGACUUUCUGGUCUGUAACUGACGCUGAUGUGCGAAAGCGUGGGGAUCAAACAGGAUUAGAUACCCUGGUAGUCCACGCCGUAAACGAUGAGUGCUAAGUGUUAGGGGGUUUCCGCCCCUUAGUGCUGCAGCUAACGCAUUAAGCACUCCGCCUGGGGAGUACGACCGCAAGGUUGAAACUCAAAGGAAUUGACGGGGACCCGCACAAGCGGUGGAGCAUGUGGUUUAAUUCGAAGCAACGCGAAGAACCUUACCAAAUCUUGACAUCCUUUGACAACUCUAGAGAUAGAGCUUUCCCCUUCGGGGGACAAAGUGACAGGUGGUGCAUGGUUGUCGUCAGCUCGUGUCGUGAGAUGUUGGGUUAAGUCCCGCAACGAGCGCAACCCUUAAGCUUAGUUGCCAUCAUUAAGUUGGGCACUCUAAGUUGACUGCCGGUGACAAACCGGAGGAAGGUGGGGAUGACGUCAAAUCAUCAUGCCCCUUAUGAUUUGGGCUACACACGUGCUACAAUGGACAAUACAAAGGGCAGCGAAACCGCGAGGUCAAGCAAAUCCCAUAAAGUUGUUCUCAGUUCGGAUUGUUGUCUGCAACUCGACUACAUGAAGCUGGAAUCGCUAGUAAUCGUAGAUCAGCAUGCUACGGUGAAUACGUUCCCGGGUCU